This is an RNA transcript of Ostrea edulis (European flat oyster), 4845 nucleotides long. RefSeq lists it as uncharacterized. The record is from RefSeq and is a predicted model, not a curated record. The transcript has 8 exons. Lineage: Eukaryota; Metazoa; Mollusca; Bivalvia; Ostreida; Ostreidae.
CUCGGGAUGUCUAUGUUUUUGUCUCGGGCUCGUGAUUCUGUCGAUAUUAUGUCUUGUUUAUUUUCUGUUUGUACUGAGAUUCUUCGUGAUGUGUUUUAUACCAUUCAUUCCUGUUAUGUAGGAUGUUAUCUACUUAGAGACUGGUGUGGAGGACGGCACCUACCCUUACACAUGAACAUUGAUUGAAGCUGUCUGGUACAUUAUCAGUAGAGUACAGCGCACUGUACGCCCGAUCAGAGAAGUUUGUCGAAAAAGUAGCAGUGAAUAAUAGGAAGGACAUAUUGUGUCACGGUGUUUGAUAAAAGGUGUUGUUCCUCUGGAAACUUUUUUUGAUCGUCUUCUCUGGGAUAGCUGGAAAUAACCUCUCUGAAAUACAAGAAUGGAACAAGUUCUCAUUCUCAGCUGAUCAGGGACUUGUGUGAAGGAGGAGUGUUAGUGCGGAGAAGAAUUUGUCUCGGCCCAUCAUGACCUGCUGGUGGAGGCUGGACACUUCAAUAAACAUUGCUGUGGUUUUCCUGGGGUGUACCAAUCAUUUGUAGUCAUUAUUUCCCACAUGAAGAGUCAGAGGAGUAUUCAUUUUUCUAGUAAUAAGUUGAGACUCUACAGAGCAUGAAGGCAGAUAUUACAGUUACCUGCCUUAGACAAUAUGAAUUGUAAUAUAGCACUUGCUAGUUAUGUAAUUUCAGAUGAUGCUGUUUGAAUGCUUUUAGUCUCGUCACUAGUCACAUUAAGACAUUAGCUAUAACUGCAUAUAUUGCCUUUACAUUAAUUAUCUGCAUAGAACUAAACAUUUAAUAGUAGAUUUCAUGUAGUACUACAUGACUCUCUAGGAAUGCAUUUUAGGUCACCUGAGUCACUCGAGUGACCUAUUGGUAUUGUUCUGCGUCCGUUGUCGUGCAUCGUCCACCUACAAUUGAACAAAUUUUAUACACCCGUCUUAGGACGGAUCGUAUUAUGAACAGCAAUGUGUACGUUUGUCAGUCCAUUUGGGGGUUCCUGUUUCUAUUUUUAUUUUUCUAUCAAGUAUUAAACCGUUAUUGUGUAGUUUCUUUAUGGGUCACUCUUGAUCAUGUUUCAGCUUUGACUGAUUUCAGUUUUCAAGUAAGGAUUAAGUUAUUUUACAGUUUUUGUUUUGGAACGAAAGAUGUACGUGUAGGGGAAUGGGUAGUUUAUUCUAGGAGGGACCAAACUUGGCAUGUAGUGUAUAUGUGUAAAACAUUGAAUAUCAUCUUCUUUAAUGUUAUCGAUGGACACCACAAUUAUAAAUUUCAAGAUUCUGGGGUAAGGAUUUGGGUAUCAGAGUGGGACCUGAAUAAUAUUUGUGAUUUAUUGUCUUUCACAUAUCAAAGUACCCUUACUACCGACAAAUGCAUAUAGGAAAAACAAAAAAUGUACAGUAUACCAAAAAUUGUAAAUCUCACAACCAUAGGUUACACAUCAGGUGUGAGUCAAUAAUUCAAUGCUCCUCUGUAAGGUUCAAGAUCUAGGGCAGGGUUAAUGUAGGAACAUUGUUGUAGAUUUCUUAGUCUUAGUCAUAUCUUUAACUAAUAGGCCUUUCCUAAAACGUGAGUUAUCUCUCUUUGUAUUCUUACAUUUAGUGUGAAUAUUUCCGGGUACAUGUAGUUACACAAUCAGACUGCUCAUAUAUUUUAAGAGUUAUAUUAAUAUAGCAUUAUUAGUAUAAAUGCUGUUUAAAAUCGAAAACAGUUGAAAUCAUUUGUACGAGAGAGUAAGAAAAUGUUAAUGGAAACAACAAAGAAUUUCUUGAUAGAGUUGGGUGUGAUUUUUCGGGGUCUGGGGAAUUUUGAAAAUUGAAUAGGAAAUCACGACGGCAUUCAUUUGUUUACAUAUGUCUCCAAUAACGACUGACAUAAUCAUAUUGCUCAAAAGAUGAUGGCAACUCAUCAACUCAAAUUUGGGGUUUUUACAAGGAUCGACACGUCACGUGCAUUGAUCUUGCAUAUCAUGGUACCUCCUCCCCCCUUCUAAAAUGAAUUUUUGAAAAUAUAAAUUAGGAAAUCAGUGUUCUCACUGUUUUACCAGGGCUAAAAUUAUCCCACCACUACCAAUCAACUCUUUCAAAAAUAAACCAGAUUGCAAUUUUGGGUAACUUUCUCCAAAUUAUUUUGUGUGGAAAUCAUUUGCACAUGUGCAACAUGAAGAUUGGAUGGUUAAUAUCAACUGAUAUGUUUAAAAUGCACUAAAAUAGGUAAUUAAAUAAAUUAAAAAAAGCAUUACUUUUGUUCAAUAUUGCUCGAUUGAUAUAAAUUAUUUUCAUAGACAUGUGUGAUCCCGUGGGGGGGGGGGGGUAUAGUCCAAAUGUACUCUCUGGGGGAUAGGUAAGUUUAACCCCCAAUAGAAUGUCUUUGACGUCUCUAUCUAAUUCCCUCUUUUAGUCGUUUUAGCCCCCUUCAAAUGUACUUGAUUAUGUAUAGGUACAUAUAGUGUCAUAACAGAAAUUGCAAUGGCAGAUAUAGAUCCCCCUUUUCGCCACAAAUUUACAAAAUAAUUCGAGUACAACUCCAAAAUUGAUAUUUUACCCAAAUGGCUGUAUUUACAGGUACAUACUUUUCCCAACUUAUUUAAUGUAUUGCUAUAAAUUCAGGGGGUUCGACUAUAGUUAUUUUAUUUUCAAAACAUUGCAUGUGUAAAUGUCACUUUAAAGAUGGUUUGUGACAAUGAAUUUCUUUAUGGUUCUACUUGUAUUUGAAACUGUAUAAAGUUUGUGGACAGACAGCUGGAAAUCUGUCAGUGGCCUCUCAUUUACAACUUAGUACAGGCUUGGUUAAAUUUUACUUGCCAAUCGAAGGAGGUGGACAUUUUCAGAAUGCAGUGGUGUCAGUCCGACAUACCUAGAUGUACAUCGUGGCAUAACUUUCAUCGCUGAAUGUACUACAUUAAUAUUGAACAAGUAACAUCUGAUAUUUUAUUAUAAAUCUGACUGCAUUAAAACAUGGGGUAAAAAUCCUCAGGAAAUGUAUGCUAUAUAUUGUGAUAUAUACUAAUUUCAGUCAUAAAACACGUGAAAUCCUGGAGGGGGGUAGUUAGAAUAAUCUAAUUGCGUCUCAGGACAGGCCCGUCGUAGGAAAUUGCAUCACUUUAACGAUAGAACAUUCUAAUGGGAAAGGGAUGUCCUCUAUUUACAACAUUUAUUUCUUUUAUUCUUUUUUGCAAAGUUGGUUAUUUUUACGUGUAUGAAGGAAACAUAUGCAUUGUGAUUUUUUAUUAACGUUAAUAUAUUUGUUAGCUUGGUUGCUGUAAAAUUAUUCAGUAAUAUCUUUGCGGCCUUCUGCACCGUUGAUAAUGACGCUUCUCGAAUAUACUACCAGGAAGUCUUGAACUACUGUUAUGCAAGCGCACUACCUUCCGGAUCAAGGGAAGAUAACUCAUGUUUUCAUAUUGGCCUAUACUCAGGUGACCGAUGAGGCCUGUGAGUCUCCGGUUUACAUGUUGUCAUGAAACAGACAACAAGCUGGCUUACCAAACUUGUCUUGAAAAAUACACUGAACAAAAUUUUACUUUCCUGUCUGAUUUCUGGUCAUUCCAGCACUCAUUGCCACCUUGGUUUUUCAGCUUUCUGGGCUUCAAACGAUGGUGAGACAAUGACUGCAGGAUCAUUUCCUGUCUCUUAAAAGCAGAAGUGGCCAGGAUACCUUACCAACCGAUCCAUUUUUAGGGAUGGUGUUUUGUAUCGAGCUGGGUAGCAGUUACUGGAGAUGUCCAGCUGAUUGAUGAGGAUAAUUUCCCCGAUCCGCUGACAUAAUUAGAUAUGAAAAUCUCAACUGCUAUAGAACAUGUCAGAUUGAAAGAGCAUGGUAAAUAUUUGGAAAUGGUGGGGGCUACUGCGACAGAUUCAUACUCACCAUUGAAGCCUCAUCCAAAAUGUGUAAAAGCCUAAAUCAUGUGACUAUUUGUGCGGGAAUCUACUUGGGGCCACUCUGAUCAGAGGGGAGAUGAAUUUGUGAAAAUACAUUCACGACGUUUAGAAAUAUCUUCUCCAGAACAACGCUGCCAAUUUUGACCAAUCUUGACACAAAUCAUUCUUAUGAGAAGGACGGUGGAGAUUUAAAUACCUGUUGUGAUGUUAUUGAUUGUAAACAGAAGACGGUGACCUUGGAUCUGAAGAUCACUCUCUGUUAUAGUACAUGUACUACAAAUCUAACAGUGUGACACUCAGCCACAAAGAGGUUGUCUCUGAUGUCCACACAUAAACCCCAUGGACCGACUAAAUCACAGUGAAUGUAACGGAGGAACUGUCCGUCCUGAUCUAGGAUGUGGAUACGGUGAUUGUAAUAGUCUGCUGUCAGGAUGUGACUCUGGCUGUCUGUAGUGAUGCCGUAUGGUUUAAAUGAGUGCUUGGUAUUAGAGGGAUGACCAGUGUAUCUAAAUCGGAGUUUUCCUGACUGAUUGACCACCACUACUGCACUAGCUGUACAGUCAGCCACACAGAUAUCCAGGUUCCUGUUCUCACUGAGGUAUUUAAUGUUAUAACGACCAGAUGAGUAGAGAGGACGACCCUGAUCAUCAAACUGAAUGCUUUGUGUCUCUGUGGAGCCGGAGUAACGCACGACUUUGGAUUGUUUUCUAUCAUCACUGAUCAUGGUAACCAGGAGAUUGUUACCCGCGGUACAGCAGACAUAGAGAGGACGCCACCCCUGUAGUCUGAUCACGAUUGAGUUGAGUGGAAUAAUGAACCUCCAGAUAUCUAUGUACAUUCACACGUGUAUGAUUAAACGUGUGCUGCACUCACACAUGCGAGCUUAUUAUAUAUAACGUGUUCGAGUCUUACUUCCUGAAUACUUUCUUGAACUAGUGAAUUAAAAAUUAAAUAAAUUGACUUUCUUC